RNAcentral lists this unclassified non-coding RNA (240 nucleotides) under soil metagenome. RNAcentral's name for it is "partial contains 5.8S ribosomal RNA, internal transcribed spacer 2, and large subunit ribosomal RNA". The record is from RNAcentral.
AACAUCGCGCACCUGCGGGAACCUGCGGAAGGAUCAUUAUUGAAUAAAAUUGGUUGGGUAGUUGCUGGCUUCUGCAUUUGAAGCAUUUGUGCACACCUGAUCGAUAUUUCUAACCACCUGUGCAUCUAUGUAGAUCUUGAAACAAUUUUCAAGUACAAAAACCUACUUGGAUUUGAGAACUGCUGUGUUAAUUAAAGCCAGCUCUUCUUGUGUUUCUAGUUCUAUGUUUUCAUAUAAUCA